RNAcentral lists this ribosomal RNA (253 nucleotides) under uncultured prokaryote. Its description in RNAcentral is "partial 16S ribosomal RNA". It matches the Rfam family "Bacterial small subunit ribosomal RNA", at positions 524 to 776 of the family's 1533-position model. The record is from RNAcentral.
GACAGAGGUGCCGAGCGUUAGGCGGAAUCACUGGGCUUAAAGCGUGUGUAGGCGGGCGGGCAAGUACCUUGUGAAAUCCCACGGCUCAACCGUGGAACGGCUGGGUAUACUGCCUGUCUUGAGCCAACUAGGGGCGAGCGGAACAGACGGUGGAGCGGUGAAAUGCGUAGAUAUCAGGAGGAACACCGGUGGCGAAGGCGGCCUGCUGGGCAGUGGCUGACGCUGAGGCGCGACAGCGUGGGGAGCAAACAGG